RNAcentral lists this long non-coding RNA (3905 nucleotides) under Brachypodium distachyon (stiff brome). RNAcentral's name for it is "long non-coding RNA (BDIS_LNC003333)". The record is from RNAcentral. Lineage: Eukaryota; Viridiplantae; Streptophyta; Magnoliopsida; Poales; Poaceae.
UAGGAAACAGAAAAACAGAUCCAUCAGAUUGUUUUGUCCGUCACGGUCAGCACGAGUCGAAUCUCUUGAUGGGGCCAGAUCCGUUGGAAAGGUCUUGUAAUUAGCUUUCCAACAAGUACUUGUUUGCUUGAUUUGGACUUCGGAUGCGGCCUGGGUGAUUAAAACAAAUUCGGGUCUCCUGGCAGCUCGAACCCGAAUCAGAUUCAACUUUAAUUCGUGAUAUCUUUCUCUAGCAAGCUCCGAAUCAUGUGCCGUUUGAUUUGUUGGAAAGUACACUUGAAAUCCUUCCCUCUCAGCUGUAUGAAUGCUUGAUUCUUGUUGGCCCUCCCGUUCGCCUCCAUCGUAUCUCAUCUUGACCUUGGACUUGAAAAGCUCGACAAGAUACCUACGUAAUAAAACGAGACAAGAUAGUAGUAGCUCCGCCUCUUCAUAAAUAUGACAAUGAAAACAAUUACUACUUGAAUUCACUUGAUUAUAAAUCUUGUCAAAUAUUAUAGAAUUGAGGCUACCAAAGGUCGUAUCCAUGGUUAGCAUGUCCAUAUCACCGGAGGUUGUGUGGCGCCCAGAUCUGUGGGGGAUGGAAGUAGGGGCAGCCGCCAUGGGAGAGAGAGUGCCGGGUGAGAAUAAAAAGAGAGAGGGCCGGGAGUCCAAUCUUUCGCGCGAGAGAGGUGGACCGAGAUGAUUCCUUGUUUUUCGAGGAAUUGGUUCGUUCCAAAUCCGAGGGGUAUAUUCCCAACUGUGGAACCAUUUCGUUCCAUGCCAAUUUUCUCUGUUCUUUCAACCAAACGCUGAAACCACCUCCAAAACUGAAACCAUUCCACUUGAUUCCCCCAACCAAACACUGCCUAAGAGAACGAGUUAUACUAAUUACAUACUAGCUAAGUGCCCAUGCGUUGCAACGGUGAGAUAAACAUUGUAUAGCUUAACACCAAGAAAGUUAGCUAAUUAAUGAUUGAUGGAGAUCGUCCCUCGUAGGAAGGUGGAGAUAAUCUCGGUUUUUUUUCAUCUGGCGAGGUUGUUACCCUGGCAUUGCCUGUAAUCACGGGAAAGUCGCAGGUCACUGGAGAUCGUGAUUGAUGGAGAUCAUGGUGGAGAUAAUCUCGGGAUUUUAUUUCCAUCUGGCGAGGUUGUUAUCUUGAAAUUGGGUUAAUAGCAGGAAAAACGUACGUCGGGCAUCUCGUUUUUUUUUCCGUGGGUUGUUUUGCGCACGAGUGAGCAGACGUACGUGGGAGGGACGUACGCCAAAGUGUGGCUUAAAGAAUAGUAAAUAAAUCCUAGCGAACGUCACACGUUUUGCAAAAUCUUUGUUUUAAAUUCAGAGUCCAUCUACUAACCACAAUUAUUACAAAGUGUACAUCAAUGUAAAAUAAGAAAACUUACAUGGCAGGCAUGACAGAACAACUAAGCCUAAACUGGCUUAUGCACAAGCUGAAGCUAUCUAGGCUGCCUUUGCUUAUGUUGGAGCUGAACAGAAGUUAGUUGGAAACAGAAGAAGCUAAUUUUUUGCUGGAGUUGGAGUUGGAUGCUGCAGCUAGAGAGUUAUAGUCCGUUUAGAGUGGCGGUGAAACUGUAGCUGUAGUUGGGUGCGAGUGGAAUAUUUGAGAUGUCCUUGUUCGCUGUAAAUUUCGUUUAAGUGCUGGGUUUUUGCUAUAAUAGAAAAUGACGAGUUUAAGAAUUGUUUGAGCGUAAAAUACCUAAUUUUGAUAGGAUUUAACAAAAGUGUUUUCGCUAGAUUUAGCAUGGAUGAUUUCAUAUAUUAUUUAACUUUGACAAUGAGAAAAAUAGUCUUAACGGGUCAUACUUAUUUGAUAUUGUAGAUUUUAUCAUAGUGAAAAAUAUAACAUGGUGCGAAUCUGAAAAUCUGAAAAUUUACCAGCAUGAUGCUAGAUGAAAACACGAGAUGCAAGGUGGGAUGCCCCUCCAAUCAGUUAAAUGCAUUUUUUUUAAACUGCACGUUGAAUUCAACAUGUUCUUCAGGUUUAGUAGGGUGUGCAAUUCCACGACACGGGAAGCGUGCUCGAGGAAGAAGGGGAGGGCAUUGGACAGUGCAAAUCGAGCUAGGCGCGCGCCGGAUCUGUGCGGUAGUGGUCGGCGAAGACAAAGCCACGCCGCCGGAUCAGCGCUGCAGUGGUUGGCUGGCAGAGGAGGGCUGACAGGAGACUGACGUGUUUCAACGCAUCGGAGGAGGGAGUGAUCGGUGAAGACGAAGCUGCCACCGGAUCUGCGCUGCAAUGGUCAGCCGGUGGAGGAGGGCCGGUUUCAGCCGGGCUAGGAGGUAGUGGUCGGAUAGGACGAAGCUGCCUCCCAGAUUUGCACUGCAGUGAUCGCCAACGAAGUGACAGGGAGAGGAGAAGGAGGUGUCCCGGCGGAGGAGGUCGAGCCGUCAAGGCGUUCUGGCACAAGAGACGGAGGUGGGCCAGCGGCGCGAGGCUGAAACCCGACUCGAUCACUCGAGCAACCGUCGCCACCGCUCGUAGAGGAGGAGAAGGGAUGUCGGAUCAACAUGUUUGAAGAUUGGGAAAAAACGGCCCGCGUGAUAUUUUCCUCCUGGUGGUAUUUUGUACGUAAAUAGACGUUAAGGGACAGGGGCAAAGAGGAGGUGGAGUUUGUUCUAGCUCAGCUCCAUCCCGAAAGAUAAGCAUCCGCAUCGAUGCUUUUGCUGUGUGGUGCAAAUUCGACUGAAUUCGGCUGCAGCUUGUUGCUUUCAGUUAGCUGCAAAAGAAGUUGAUGCGGGUCGGGGUGGCCCGAUCUUUCGAUGAGAUUGAUAACUCUCGAUUUGGGUAGGAGGUGACGUUGACGAUCCGACUGCCGCCUAGGAGGCAGCGUCUUAGCAAUUGAUACACCAACUCCAGAGGGUUAUUGAUCACACGGGGGCACGAUCAACCUGACCACGAAGGUCUUUGUUCCUGCAAGCAAUCGAAGAACAAGCAAGAACAAGAUAAAUAGCAGAUGCAAUCUAAAAUUGCGAAUAUACUAUAUCAAACCAAUGUCUCAACGAGACGAUAAGUUGGAGUCUUGACAACGGUAAAACAGGUGGUCUAACCGACACACGCGAUUACACGAAAGUAGCAAAGAUGGCUAAACUUUAUCUAAUCAAAACCCAAGGCUCCAUAGGGGGGCUCAUGGGGUAUAAAUAGGAAGAGGGAGAGAUAUUUUCGUCCACCUUGAGUAAGGAGGCCGAAAUCCAACUCUAUCUCUAACUUCCCUAACAAACUACAACUCUUUAGGAAACAGAAAAACAGAUCCGUCAGCUUGUUUUGUCCGCCACGGUCAGCACGAGUCGAAUCUCUUGAUGGGGCCAGAUCCGUUGGAAAGGUCUUGUAAUUAGCUUUCCAACAAGUACUUGUUUGCUUGAUUUGGACUCCGGAUGCGGUCUGAGUGAUUAAAACAAAUUCGGGUCUCCUGGCAGCUCGGACCCGAAUUGGAUUCAACUUUAAUUCGUGAUAUCUUUCUCUAGCAAGCUCCGAAUCAUGUGCUGUUUGAUUUGUUGGAAAGUACAUUUGAAAUCCUUCCCUCUCAGCUGUAUGAAUGCUUGAUUCUUGUUGGCCCUCCCGUUCGUCUCCAUCGUAUCUCAUCUUGACCUUGGACUUGAAAAGCUCGACAAGAUGCCUACGUAAUAAAACGAGACAAGAUAGCAGUAGCUCCGCCUCUUCAUAAAUAUGACAAUGAAAACAAUUACUACUUGAAUUCACCUGAUUAUAAAUCUUGUUAAAUAUUAUAGAAUUGAGGGUAUCAAAGGUCGUAUCCAUGGUUAGCAUGUCCAUAUCAGAAGUGUUUUUUAUCGUUUUCGAAAUUGCUUCACGCAGGACAAUUCACAUCCGAUGGUUGUACGACAUCUUCGUUAUUUCCCCAGGCUUUUGCUUCCCAAGGCCCAGCCCAAAUCCAAACCGAAAGAGGGUUAGUCU